Molecule: non-coding RNA, 367 nt
Organism: Pelobates cultripes (western spadefoot toad)
Lineage: Eukaryota; Metazoa; Chordata; Amphibia; Anura; Pelobatidae
Source: the annotation of a GenBank genome assembly
CUUAAGCUCUUGGGCGGGUGGCGAUUAAGCUCUUGGGUCAGGUCGCUUUCAGCUAUAUGUUCGCAAUCAUAUGUUGUAAUUGACUCCCUGUUCUUUUCCUUGUUGUCCUUGUCGUUGUCUGUUUUCACAGGCGUAGCUCCGCGAUACGUCUGGAUCCUGAGCCAUUCGUAUGUGUAUUGGGCAACUAGGCGGGCCGAAGCCGGAUUAUAUGGGCGUAAUCUGGGAUUUCCAUGUGAGUUAGUGCGGAUACGUUAGAGAGGUUUGAGGGGUUUGUCUUGGGAACAUUUGUAUUCAAAGUGCGCUCAGCUUAGUUGUUGCAUUUUGGGGCCGGUUACAUUAGUGCUCUAUGCAGGUGGGAACAACAUUG